RNAcentral lists this long non-coding RNA (350 nucleotides) under Homo sapiens (human). Its description in RNAcentral is "non-protein coding lnc-ICAM3-1:4". The record is from RNAcentral. Lineage: Eukaryota; Metazoa; Chordata; Mammalia; Primates; Hominidae.
CGAACUCCUGACCUCAGGUGAUCCACCCACCUCAGCCUUCCAAAGUGCUGGGAUUACAGGCAUGAGCCACCGUGCCUGCCUUUCAUUGCCUCUUGAAAAGAGCUUGUCUUGUUUAUACUGUAGAAAUUCCUUGAGCUCAUAGGCAUUGCUCAGGGUCAGAUGACAGUUCUGAGACUCACUGAGUUGCUGGAACGAGGGGAGAGGCUGCCACGGCCCGACAAAUGUCCCUGUGAGGUCUAUCAUCUCAUGAAGAACUGCUGGGAGACAGAGGCGUCCUUUCGCCCAACCUUCGAGAACCUCAUACCCAUUCUGAAGACAGUCCAUGAGAAGUACCAAGGCCAGGCCCCUUC